RNAcentral lists this ribosomal RNA (305 nucleotides) under uncultured bacterium. RNAcentral describes it as "partial 16S ribosomal RNA". It matches the Rfam family "Bacterial small subunit ribosomal RNA", at positions 338 to 657 of the family's 1533-position model. The record is from RNAcentral.
CCUACGGGGGGCAGCAGUGGGGAAUAUUGCACAAUGGGGGAAACCCUGAUGCAGCGACGCCGCGUGAGUGAAGAAGUAUCUCGGUACGUAAAGCUCUAUCAGCAGGGAAGAAAAAAAUGACAGUACCUGACUAAGAAGCCCCGGCUAACCACGUGCCAGCAGCCGCGGUAAUACGUAGGGGGCAAGCGUUAUCCGGAUUUACUGGGUGUAAAGGGAGCGUAGGCGGCCAUGCAAGUCAGCAGUGAAAACCCGGGGCUCAACCCUGGGAGUGCUUUUGAAACUGAGCGGCUAGAGUGUCGGAGGGG